UACGAAGGUGGCAAGCGUUGUUCGGAUUUACUGGGCGUACAGGGAGCGUAGGCGGUUGGAUAAGCCCUCCGUGAAAUCUCCAGGCUUAACCUGGAAAGUGCAGAGGGGACUGUUCAGCUAGAGGAUGGGAGAGGAGCGCGGAAUUCCCGGUGUAGCGGUGAAAUGCGUAGAGAUCGGGAGGAAGGCCGGUGGCGAAGGCGGCCUUCUGGACCAAUACUGACGCUCAUGCACGAAAGCGUGGGGAGCAAACAGG
Molecule: ribosomal RNA, 253 nt
Filed under: uncultured bacterium
Lineage: Bacteria
Description: partial 16S ribosomal RNA
Rfam family: Bacterial small subunit ribosomal RNA
Source: RNAcentral